RNA transcript from Myxocyprinus asiaticus (Chinese sucker), 5790 nucleotides. It is a transcript of the gene named nonsense-mediated mRNA decay factor SMG5, with no coding region annotated. The transcript is spliced from 20 exons. The record is from RefSeq and is a predicted model, not a curated record. NCBI's taxonomy places the organism in Eukaryota, Metazoa, Chordata, Actinopteri, Cypriniformes, Catostomidae.
UCUGCGGUGGGAGGGGAAAAAUGGCCGCUCGCGGAGCGACUCUCGGAACGACGCGCGAUAACAACACAAACACAACCCCCUCAGAAUGUGACAGCUGACCCGAACCGACACCAGCACACACGCCGGCUUCUGAACGGAUGGGUGUCGAGGCAGGUGGCGGGGAAGUACAGGAACGACGGCCUUUGUGUUUAAGUUGUAAUUUUGAGGGAAAGAGGUGAGUUAGCCAGCCUGCUAACGUUAGCCACGCGAAACGAACCAGAACCAGAUCAAGAAACACGAAACCAGACCACUGCAGACUGCUUCUUACUGCUAGAAUGAGCGGGCCGGGUCAGGACAGCGAGCCAGAGGCCAAAGUGCUUCAUAUUAAACGGCUGUACAGUGUGCAAUAGACUGGCAUGUCUUAACGUCAAUAUUAGGUCAAAAAUGGCAAAAAAAGAAACCGCUUUCUCCUGAAACUCGUCAGUCAUUCAUUGUUUUGAGGAAUAAAGGAUAUACAAUGCUUGAAAUUGCUUAAAAGAUUUCAUACAAAGGUGUACACUACAGUCUUCAAAGACAAAGGACAACUGGCUCUAACAAGAACAGAAAGAGAUGUGGAAGGCCAGAUGUACAACUAAACAAGAGGAUAAGUACAUCAGAGUCUCUAGUUUGAGAAAUAGACGCCUCACAUGUCCUCAGCUGACAGCUUUAUUGAAUUCUACCCGCUCAACACCAGUUUCAUGUACAACAGUAAAGAGAAGACUCAGGGGUGCAGGCCUUAUGGGAAGAAUUGCAAAGAAAAAGCCACUUUUGAAACAGAAAAACAAAAAGAAAAGGUUAGAGUGGGCAAAGAAACACAGACAUUGGACAACAGAUAAUUGGAAAAGAGUGUUAUGGAUCUUAACCCCAUUGAGCUUCAGCUAGACUGUAAGGUGCGUGAGAAGUGCCUGACAAGACAGCCACAUCUAUGGCAAGUGCUACAGGAAGUGUGGUGUGAAAUGUCACCUGAGUAUCUGGACAAACUGACAGCUAGAAUGCCAAGGAUCUGCAAAACUGUCAUUGCUGCACGUGGAGGAUUUUUUGAUGAGAACUCUUUGAAGGCUGUGGUGGAAACGGUACACAAGUUGGAUAUUAUUAUCAGCGGCAAGUCAUCUUACAGGGAGGUCUUUAAACCUGAAAAUAUCAGCUUGCGGAACAAGUUGCGAGAACUUUGUGUUAAGCUGAUGUUCCUGCAUCCUGUGGACUAUGGACGCAAGGCAGAAGAACUGCUGUGGAGGAAGGUCUACUAUGAGGUCAUACAGGUCAUCAAGACCAACAAGAAGCAUAUUCACAGCCGCAGUGCUCUGGAGUGUGCGUACAGGACCCAUCUGAUUGCCGGGGUGGGCUUCUUUCAACACCUGCUGCUCUACAUCCAGUCACACUAUCAACUGGAGCUGCAGGACUGCAUUGACUGGACACACGUCACAGACCCGCUCAUCGGUCGUAAGAAACCAGUCUCAGCCACCCUUAAAGAGAUGGAGUGGGCCCAGAUGGCAUGUCACAGAUGCCUUGUGUACUUGGGAGAUCUCGCGCGGUACCAGAAUGAACUGGCGGGAGUGGAGGCAGAGCAGCUGGCUGAACGCUUUUAUCAUCAGGCCCUGUCUGUCGCACCUCACAUCGGAAUGCCAUUUAAUCAGUUGGGUACGCUUGCUGGAAGUAAAUUUUAUAACGUGGAGGCUACUUACAAUUACCUGCGCUGCAUUCAGUCGGAGACUCCCUUUGACGGGGCUUAUGGGAAUUUAAAGCGUCUGUUUGACAAAGCAGCCAAGAUGUACCACCAAGUGAAGAAACAAGAGAUGAAGAAACUUUCACCAUCACGCCAGAGGUCAAAAGACAUCAAAAGACUACUAGUGAGCUUCAUGUAUUUGCAGAGCCUGUUGCAGCCAAAGAACAGUUUGAUGGAGACGGAGUUGACAUCAUUGUGCCAGUCCGUGCUGGAGGACUUUAACCUGGUGCUGUUCUACCAGCCUCUUCCUGCUCAUGGCAGCCAUUCGGCCAGUGAGGAGGAGGAGGAACAUGAAUCUGUCUGCUCUGUGCUGCCUGAUAGCCUCAUAUUCAAGAUUGUGGUCACUUGCCUUAUGGUGGUGCACAGCCUGAAGAGAGGGGCUUCAAAGCAGUACAGCGCCUCCAUCGCCUUCACAUUGGCUCUGUUCUCCCAUCUGGUCAAUCAUGUGAACAUUCGACUGCAAGCUGAGCUGGAAGAGGGGGAGAGUGAUGUCCCACCCUUACGCACUGAUAACACUGACAACCCUGAUGCCAGAGAUCACAGCAGUGCUGCUCCUUCGGAGGAGAGAACCAUUCAGAACGGCUCACUGGAAGAAGAGGAUGAGGAGAAAGAGAAUGAGGAGGGCAAGCCCAAGGGCAAUGGCAGGACGGUGGAGAUGAAGAAAGGGUUGGAGAAAAAGAGGUCCGCUGAGGAGAAGCAAAAGCAGAAGAGGAAGUUCUCACGGCUCUCCAUGCUCCGCCGCAGACGCUGCGCACACAAGCAGGACGAGAGUGACCUAAGCGAAGGAUUUGAGAGUGACGAAGAAGAGGAUGACGAAGAUGUCCGGCCAGUUGACGGUCUAGGAGCCUCCAGGGUCCAGGUGAAUGCUUUAGGGAGGGAGGUGAGGAGGGAACCGCUGGCAGAGGAUGGCAGCUGGGAAAGCGGUUCAGAGGAGGAUGAGGCCGGCACAGCCUUUGAUGUGGAGACAGAUUCUGACAUGAACAGUCAGGAGUCUCGUUCGGACCUAGAAGACAUGGAGGAUGCCGAGAAUGCUCCACAACAGCAGCAGCAAGAGGAAGAGGAGCAGCCACAACUGUCUAGGGAGGAAAACUCGACCCCUCCAGUAACCAAUGGCCCUCUAGUCUCCAAUGAUGCCAGUAUCAGCAGUAACCUGCAGGCCAUGUCCUCUCAGCUUUUCCAGGCCAAACGCUGCUUCAGGCUUGCACCCACCUUUAGUAAUGUACUGCUUCGCCCCCCGUCUACCAAUAAGCCCACCCCAGACUCAAACCCUGCCCCUACGCAAGAAGUCACACCCCCUCCUGGUGAAACGCCAAGCAACAUCAGUCCGGAGAUUGCUAAUGGAACCAAUGACAAUGAUCCUGACUCUGAUUCUGAAAGUAGUGAACACAGCAACCAAUCGUUUCACUGUGAGAAAACCCUUUCUGAGCGUCUGGAGAUUCUGACGAAUCAGGGACUCAUUCAGAUAGUUAAAGUCUUUUUGGAUUGGCUGAGGACAAACACUGAUAUCAUCCUCAUGUGUGCUCAGAGUUCUCAGAGCUUGUGGAACAGACUCUCAGUGCUUCUGAACUUACUACCUGAUGGCAGCAAGAUAUUGGAAGCAGAUUUGUGUCUGAAUAAGGAAGUAAAAGACCUUCUGAAUGAGUGUGAGCAGCCUGGUUUGGUCCAGACACUGCUGUUGCCCGAGGAUUUGGCCCUCCGUCACCUUCCUGCUCUUAGUGUGGCCCAUCGACGCCUGGACUUCACUAGCCAGAGACCCCCUCUUACUCCUCUUGUGGAGUCUGUGGUGCGCGUGUGCUGUAUUCGCAGCUUUGGGCACUUCCUCACAAAUCUCCAAGGCAACGUGUUACACUUCAACCCUGAGGCGGGCAUCUUCACCAGCAUCAGCCAAUCAGAGCAGGAGAACCUGGUUCAGCAGGCCAAGGCCCAGUUCCGCAUGGCAGAAAAGGAAGCUCGCAGGAACCGACUCAUGAGAGACAUGGCCCAGCUGCGCCUACAGUUGGAGGUUUCGCAGCUGGAGGGCAGUCUGCAGCAGCCCAAAGCCCAGUCCUCUAUGUCUCCUUACCUGGUACCAGAUACAGCUGUUCUCUGCCAGCACUUGGGUCUGCUCAGACAGCUGGCUGCCAGUGGCUGCUUUAUCAUCAUCAUCCCUCGCACUGGUUUGCCUUCAUGUCUCCUAAUGAUCUAUAUCCUGGGUUGCCAAAGUCAUAGAAAACAUGGAAAUAUCGUGGAACUUUAAAAGUGUUUUUAUCUUGGCCUAGUAAAGUCAUGGAAGUGAAUAAAAUCUUACGUUAGUUAAUAAUGAUGACGACAUUAUUUUAGAGUUAAUAAAGUUUGAGAUAUUAAUGAGUAAUAAUAAUUAAUGAUAAAAACUUGUAUUUAUAUUGCGUCUUACUAGCACUCAAGGUGCUUUACAAAGACAAAACAGAAAUAUGAAAACAAAACAAACAGAUCAAAUUAAUGAAUAACAAAACUCAGAAAAUCACCAAAAGUAAAACAUAACAAGGACAUGUCAAAUAAUCAGAGAUGGGUAAAGGGAUAGUUCACCCCAAAUUAAAAAUUAACUCACCCUCAUGCCAUCCCAGAUGUCUGUGCCUUUCUUUCUUCUGCAGAACACAAAAAUCUUUUGAAGAAUAUUUCAGCUGUAUAGGUUCUCACAAUGCAAGUAAAUGGGUACCAACAUUUUUAAGCUCCAAAAGCACAAAGGCAGCAUAAAAAUGCAGUGGUUUAAUCCAUGUCUUCAGAAGUGUGGGUGAGAUACAGAUACAGACCUUAAGUCCUAUUUUACUAUCAGUCUUCACUUUCACAUUUUUCUUAUUUUGUUUUUGGUGAUUCACAUUCUUUGUGCAUAUCGCCACCUACUAGCCAGGGAGGAGAAUGUAUUGUAAAAAAGCACUGUUGAUCUUUUUCUCACCCACAUCUAUUGUAUCGCUUCAGAAGACAUGGAUUAAACCACUUGAGUAUUAUGGGUUAAUUUUAUGCUGCCUUUAUGUACUUGUGGAGCUUAAAAAUUUGGUACCCAUUCACUAGCAUUGUAUGGACCUACAGAGCUGAAAUCUUUGUAUGUGUUCAGCAGAAGAAAGCAAGUCAUACACAUCUGGGAUGGCAUGAGGGUGAGUAAAUGAUGAGAGAAUUUUCAUUUUUGGGUGAACUAUGCCUUUAACUUUACAAGAUGGAGGUGUUAGGCAGGAUGUUCAUGCUGUUCUAUUCCAUACAUUGAAAGUGAAUGGUGACCUAGGGCUGUCAAACUCCAUAAAUGUCAUAAAAUAGCUUUGUGAAAGAAACGGACCACUUUAUUAUUCCCCGAAAAUCCCAUCAGACGUAGCCCAUUUAAAAUCUAAUUUGUGCAGUUUUAAGAAGCGCAUAUUGAAAUUCUGUUUGCAAGCCAUUGUGAUGUCUGAUUUCCUUCAGGAAUCUUUGGGUCUAUUCAAUGAGUUCACAAAUCAUUCUGACUGAUUUACUCGUGAGUUAGUCUGUAAUUAUUUACAAAAAAAUUAUAAUAAAAUAAUGACUAGUUAUUGAAAUGUAUUGGUCAAAAAUUUUGGGACCCCUGUCAAUCAUUUCAGCUUAGAUGCUAGAUACCUGAGUGGCAGCCUUGUGAUUUUAUUUACCAAUAUAUUCACUGACUUAAUACAGAUUUUACACUACUUGGUUCUUUUUAAUCAGCAAGUGUCAGUUGCACUAUGAAUGACUUUAAGAUUCUUCACUUCUCUAGAACUUAAACAAGUAAGAUCAAAACUUCUUUCAGUUUGGCAGCUCAGAUAUAAGGAAUAGUAAUCACAAAUGGGCCUUGUGUACAGAAGGUGCCAACCACAAGGAACAAUCAAUCAUUGUUGUUUGUAAUAUCAGUCAGCUGUGUUUGUACUAAGUGCUUGACUGAGAUGAAUUUUUGCUCUCUUGCAGUGAUUGAUGGUCUGGAUAUGCUGAAAAAAGAGAACGCUGGAGCGAGAGAUGGCAUCCGUUUCCUUGAGACAGAGUUUCGGAAGGGGAACCGAUACAUCCGCUGUCAGAAAGAGUCGGGGAGAAGUUUUGAGAGGGAUAAAUUAAAACGA